UACGGAGGCGGCGCUUGCGUUUACGGCGUUCGGCGGCAGCUUCUUCUGGGGUGGCGAAGGAGAGGAGACGGAGGGAGAUGAAGGAAGGAGGUGGAGGUUGAGGGCGGCGGAGAUAAUGGGGUUUGGCUAGGGUUUUGAGGUGAUGGGUGAAAAAGGUGUGUUUGGAGAGAGCCAUUUGAAAAUGAUGGUUGUUUGAAAGAUAAUGGGGUUUAGCUAGGGUUUUGAGGUGAUGGGUGAAAAAGGUGUGUUUGGAGAGAGCCAUUUGGAAAUGGUACUUGAUUGAAAAUGGAGGGGAUUAGGGUUCUGUCAGGGUUUAGCAGUAGAAGAGGAUUGGAGAAGACGAUAGAAAAGUGUAACAGGCCGGAUUCUUCAUCCAAAAGCCUAGAGUAAACUCGGUAUCUUUUCACAAAUGGCCAUCAGAUUCACUAUUUACUUUUAGUCACCGGUAUAUUAUAG
This 456-nucleotide long non-coding RNA is filed under the name Nicotiana benthamiana. RNAcentral's name for it is "long non-coding RNA (NBEN_LNC017025)". The record is from RNAcentral. Lineage: Eukaryota; Viridiplantae; Streptophyta; Magnoliopsida; Solanales; Solanaceae.